RNAcentral lists this ribosomal RNA (1645 nucleotides) under sediment metagenome. Its description in RNAcentral is "bacterial LSU rRNA". It matches the Rfam family "Archaeal large subunit ribosomal RNA", at positions 1344 to 2969 of the family's 2987-position model. The record is from RNAcentral.
AUGUUUGAGAAAAUAUGUGGACCGGACAGGAAAAAGAAUCCUGGUGAGAGUAGGUAUAAAGCAGAGUGAGAAUCUCUGCCACCGUAAGGGCAAAGGUUCCUUGACAACGAACAUCGGUCAAGGGUUAGUCGGUCCUAACUUGCUUCGUAACUGUUUGCAGGGAAAGGGAAACAGGUUAAUAUUCCUGUACUUUCUGGAUAUGCGUGGCAACACAAGCGUAAUUUCUGACGCUUCAGGCUAGGCGAAUAUGAGCUGUCGCUCGUAUCAACCGGAAUAAAUCAAUGGAGUGCCGUAAUGGAGAGAAAUUGAUUAAAUCCGGGAGUAGUAGGUUGUAUGAUCUAUUUUGCUGAUGCCCGGAGUCCCUGAAAAAGAAAUUAUGAUAGAUUCCGGAUAUCCGUACUAAAAACCAGCACAGGUGCCCCUAGGUGAGUAGCCUAAGGUGUAGGGUUUAAUCUAGGUAAGGGAAUUCGGCAAAUUGGUCCUGUAUCUUCGGUAUAAAGGAUCCCUGUGAUUGUUACUUUUCGUAGCGGUUGCAGGGCGCAGUGACUAGGGGGGUCCGACUGUUUAACAAAAACAUAAUCUUCUGCUAGUCCGCAAGGAUGUGUACAGAAGGUGACGUCUGCCCAGUGCCAGUACUUCAAACUUCUUUUCAAGGGAGCUAAGAGCUGGUAUACGGCGGGAGUAACUAUAACUCUCUUAAGGUAGCGAAAUACCUUGUCGUUUAAUUGACGACGUGCAUGAAUGGCGUAACGAGAUCUCUACUGUCCCUACCUAGAGUCCUCCGAACACUCUUUCAUGGUGCAAAGGCCAUGGUCUCCCAGUGGGAAGCGAAGACCCCGUGAAACUUUACUGCAGCUUGUAAUUGCGGUACAAAUGAUGGUGUGCAGCGUAGAUAGUAGUUGCUUGAAACUUAAUCGUCAGGUUAAGCGUAAACAUCAAUGAGACACUAUCCUCUAUUAUUAGUAUUGCUAACCAGGAUGUUAAUAUUCUGGGACAUUUGCAGGUGGGCAGUUUGGCUGGGGUGGCACCCCGUCGAAAGGAUAUCGACGGGGUCCAAAGGUUAGCUCAACCGGUUUGGAAAUCCGGUGUUGAGUAUAAGGGCAAAAGCUAGCCUGACUGAAUUUUCAAUAAGUCAAAAUUCAGAGACGAAAGUCUGGCCUAACGAACUCCUAUACCUCUUUAAUAGGGGUUAGGACUGACCGAAAAGUUACUCCGGGGAUAACAGAGUUGUCGCGCCCGAGAGUUCAUAUCGACGGCGCGGUUUGCUACAUCGAUGUCGGCUCUUCCUAUCCUGGCUGUGCAGCAGCAGCCAAGGGUGGGGGUGUUCACCCAUUAAAAGGGAUCGUGAGCUGGGUUCAGAACGCUGUGAGGCAGUUUGUUUGAUAUCUACUGGAAGUGUUGAAUGUUUGAAAGGAAGGAUCUCUCAGUACGAGAGGAACGGGGAACCAGGGCCACUGGUCUAUCUGUUGUCUGACAAGGCAUUAUGCAGAGCAGCUACGCCCUAAAGGAUAAGUGCUGAAAGCAUCUAAGCACGAAACCUGCCUUGAAAAGAAACAUUCAUCGAACACUUGUAAAACACAAGUUUGAUAGGAUUGGUGUGUAAGUUUCAAGCUUCGGCGAGAAAUUAAGCAUGCAAUUACUAAAA